AAGUGUUACAGCUCUUUAGAAUUUGUCUAGCAGGCUUUCCAAUUUUUGUCGGAAAGCCCCC
Molecule: small nuclear RNA, 61 nt
Organism: Callithrix jacchus (white-tufted-ear marmoset)
Lineage: Eukaryota; Metazoa; Chordata; Mammalia; Primates; Cebidae
Gene: U7
Rfam family: U7 small nuclear RNA
About the family: Animal histone pre-mRNAs are spliced by a different mechanism than nuclear pre-mRNAs and self-splicing introns. This processing involves the U7 snRNP, which contains only one RNA species: U7.
Source: Ensembl